RNAcentral lists this small RNA (213 nucleotides) under Mycobacterium sp. RNAcentral's name for it is "c-di-AMP sequence". It matches the Rfam family "c-di-AMP riboswitch aptamer (ydaO/yuaA leader)". Rfam says of the family: This family represents a conserved RNA structure found upstream of the ydaO and yuaA genes in Bacillus subtilis and related genes in other bacteria. The ydaO/yuaA element is thought to act as a genetic "off" switch for the ydaO and yuaA genes in its native state. Lineage: Bacteria; Bacillati; Actinomycetota; Actinomycetes; Mycobacteriales; Mycobacteriaceae. RNAcentral also lists the same sequence under 1 other name. The record is from RNAcentral.
ACACCGACUGCGCCGAACUCCAUCCGUUGGUGCGCGGGGACAACGAGAGACAACUCGGAUGGAGGCGGGGGACCCACCGGUCCACCGACAUACAGGACCAGGAACCUUUCGCGGUUCCUUGGGGUGAAGCCGUCGCCUUUCGACGACGCCGGCCGGGCGACCUCUCCAGCCCGAACCCGACAGCUGACCUCGUGGGCGCUUAAGAGAGGACCA